RNAcentral lists this ribosomal RNA (433 nucleotides) under uncultured bacterium. Its description in RNAcentral is "partial 16S ribosomal RNA". It matches the Rfam family "Bacterial small subunit ribosomal RNA", at positions 29 to 507 of the family's 1533-position model. The record is from RNAcentral.
AACGAACGCUGGCGGCAUGCCUAACACAUGCAAGUCGAACGAGACCUUCGGGUCUAGUGGCGCACGGGUGCGUAACGCGUGGGAACCUGCCCUUAGGUUCGGAAUAACUCCCCGAAAGGGGUGCUAAUACCGGAUAAUGUCUUCGGACCAAAGAUUUAUCGCCUUUGGAUGGGCCCGCGUUGGAUUAGCUAGUUGGUAGGGUAAAAGCCUACCAAGGCGACGAUCCAUAGCUGGUCUGAGAGGAUGAUCAGCCACACUGGGACUGAGACACGGCCCAGACUCCUACGGGGGGAAGCAGUGGGGAAUAUUGGACAAGGGGCGAAAGCCUGAUCCAGCAAUGCCGCGUGAGUGAUGAAGGCCUUAGGGUUGUAAAGCUCUUUUAACCGGGAGGAUAAUGACAGUACCGGGAGAAUAAGCGCCGGCUAACUCCGUG